This is a non-coding RNA of Arachis ipaensis, 1681 nucleotides long. NCBI's taxonomy places the organism in Eukaryota, Viridiplantae, Streptophyta, Magnoliopsida, Fabales, Fabaceae. The record is from RefSeq and is a predicted model, not a curated record.
CACUUAAUUUCUUUAUCAGAACACUCAAAAUAGCCCUAACUUAGAAGUGAGAACCCAAACCCUCGAAUCCUCUCCAUUACUCAACUAAGAACCCUAAACUUUCGCAGCCUUCUCUCAGUUAGCAGCCCUCUCAGCUCGCAGCCCUCUUCAUCACUGAGAAGUGAGAAUCCAUCGUCAUCUUUCAGGUCGUAGCCCGCUCUCAACUUGCAACCCUCUAUCCUUCUCUUGCAACCCUUUAUCCCUCUUCAAUCGGUGCUGCUUCCGCCGGCGCACCCUCCAUCGGCGCGCCCUCCGUCGGCGCGCCUUCCGUCGGCGUUCACUCUCGCUCGCAAGGCCUCCAUCAGUGCUUGUUCUCUCUCGCUCAAACCUUACCUCCGUCGACACUGACUCAAUCGUCGCUGCCUCUCCCUCAAUCGUUGUUCCUCCCUCAAUCGGCGCUCAACCCUCACCAUAACACAAGAAAGAAUACUAAAUGGAGGUUACUUGAGGGUGUGAGGGUCUCUAGUGCACUGCCACCUAGAACGGUCUUGGUGCAGCAGUGUAUCUGUGAUAAAGGUGUGUUGGAAGUUCUAUGCAACUAUGCAGCUCCAUCAAAGAACUUUGAACCUUCAAGACAUGUAAUAGGCUUAUGUACUGCGGUUUGCAUUUCAUCAAAAGAAAAUUAUUUCCUAGCUUAAAUGCUGUAAUUUUGCAAUAAUCUGGUGUUAGGAAGCUAAGCAUUUGACCUGAAUCAAAUAAGUUUCAUGGGGAGAAUCAAGUAUGAUUCAAGCUGAAAGGUUAUUUUCCUGAACCCAAAGAACAAGGAAAUGUUGCUGGAGAACUUCAAAGAACAGCUUGCUUUGUCUGUGAGAAGCAUCUAGUGGAGCUAUGCAAUAUUCUGGUCUACUUCAUCUACCCAACCCAGCAAGGUAUUGAGUUGGGGGGAAGGAUAUUACAAUGGAGACAUUAAGACAAGGAAGACAAGUCAAGGAGUGAAACUCAAUUCUGAUCAGAUAGGGUUGCAGCGGAGUGAGCAGCUUCGAGAGUUAUACAAGUCCCUCAAAGCUGUAGAAGCCAGCCCUCAAACCAAAAGGCGUUCAGUAGCACUGUCUCCGGAGGAUCUCUCAGAUACAGAAUGGUACUAUUUGGUUUGCAUGUCCUUUGUAUUCAACAUUGGCUAAGGGAGUUGAAAGCUAGAGGAAUUAACAAUAAGCACACUCUUGCUUAUCAGAGUCGAGUGGGCCCGGUACAGUGGUUGAAACCAUAUACAGAUGAAACUCUCGUUGAGCUUGGUUAGAAAGGUGUGAGGAGUCUUUUAGCUGUUCCAGUGAGGUAAGAAGAAUGGGAAGUAAAGAAACUGCAUUGAUAUUCAUGCAUGAAGAAUAUAAAAUCCUCAAGCGCUACAAAAAUUAUAUAACUUCUUCUAAGAGGGCUAUCUCCUUUUUCUAAAGCACAAUGGUGUGAGCUCCAAGAUUCAGCAGCAUGAGUUUUUGCCUAUAAAUUGCAAAUCUCAACAAUAUUAUGUUUGGAUUAUUGAUAUUUAUUUUUUAAUUUUUUUAUUUUUUACACAAAAAAAUGACAGAGAUAGAAUAAGUUAAUGACUUUUAAUAAGUUUUAUAUGUAUUGAUAUUUUUUAGCCCAAUGUAUUUUAUAACUACUUUAGUUAUAAGAGAUUGAUAUAGCUAAUUUGGUUUGAAUUUUA